UAAAACGAAUAGUAAUUUAGCACGGAAGGUUAAUUACAUCACUGGAAUCUAUCAGCAUUAACAAUGCUGAUAGAUGCUGAUGAAGAUCAGCAUUAACAAUGCUGAUAGAUGCUGAUGAGAAAACAGACGGAGAGAUGGACAAGAUCAAGGCAAGGUGCAUCUAGCAGACUAGCACAUCACAUCAGUGCGUCUUAAAAUUAAAGCAGAUGGAUUUGCGUGUUCACACACUGGUCGUCACCACUGUUAAUUAAGCUCUGCUAGUAGGAGGUACUCCUACUGCGCUGCUAGGUGCUCGAGGAUACAUUAUGGUGAUCAAAGUAGCUGCUGGCUUUGCUGCUGCUAGUAGCUUUACUAUUUCUCUCAUCGAUAGAUAGAAAGAUAGAUGGUGCCUCUGCAUUUAUAGCCUACCUAUAGCUGAUUAGAGAGAGCUACCUGCUGAUCGAUCGAUGCAUCCCCAUCCAUCGGUAAGCAAGAUUAAUGGCGAUGUUAAGGUGCGGCCCACCGCAUGCAGAGACAUGAUUAAUUAUAUAUCAUUUCUCCAUCAUGUUACAUUUUAUACUUAUAAUUUACAAAACAUAGAACAAGUAGUACACUUUUAUGGUUUUCAUUUUCUGUGUCGAGAAUGGUCGAUUAAUGGUUUUGUAUACAGUUAUCCCUUGAGAUUACAUUAUUGGACCACCCACUAAUAUAAUUUGAUUUAAUGAAUCGACAGUGAUAUGAUCCAAGCAAGUGUAUCGUUUAAUUGAGGCGUGUAAACGACGCAACGACGGAGCUACCGGCCAUUUAUCACAAGGAAGCAGACUGCUCAACAGAUUAUAUUAUUGGAUUGGAUCCAUAAUCCAUGUCAAGUUACAGCUCCAUACCGCUGACAUGGAAAGAGGAGUAGUAUUCCGUGUUGAUUGAUACCCUCAUGUAUACAAACCCUCAUGCAUUUAUAUUACGUUGUUGGGAUAGCAAAAUUUACAAAUGGAAUGUUCAUCCGUUGGAUUUACUAUCUUGCUCCCAUCCUAAAUAUAACUGUGCUAUCUAAAAUUGUUACUAAUGCAAAAAUCUUUCUAACCUAGCUAGUAACCGUCAUAAAGAUAAUUAUUGGCAAUAAAAUAUUGGUGUUUCUAGAUUUGUUACCAAACUACUUUCGUAAUAUUUGCAUAUGGAUAUUGCUUUUAAUUAGAAACAUUGUAACGAAGGUCAUUAUUGUGUCGUUGUUUAAUAAAUGGGCUUGGGAUUACAAGGUUUAUUAAAGAAAACGAGCAUGGCCACAUAUUCAUGAUGAUUAUACAUCACAUAAAAAAUUGGUUGCAGGACCUCUAUUAGAAAAUAUCUAGUAUCCAUGCUCUAUUUCCACCUAAAAUGAAUGUGUUCACAUCUGAGGCCACCUCUAAUAGGGCUGCUCUAGUUGUAUGCUUCCGGUACCCGCAACAAUGCACGCGUGUUUGACUAGCUAAUUUCAUGAUUAAUGGUGGAAAGUUUUAUUUGAUGGCUGACCUGCUCUGAUCAUCGUCAUAUGCUAUAGGACUAUGAGAAUGCCUUUGCAUCAUCUGAUAUGUACUCUCUCCGUCUCAAAUUGUAUGUCGUUUGACCAUUUUUAGAUUUAUAUAGUUUUUACUAUAUAUCUAGACAUGGUGUAUAUCUAGAUGAAUAGCAAAAGUUAGCUUGAUCGUAGAUAUGUACAUUAAUUGUUUUUUUGAAGUUAAUUUUUUUUGAAAUAGUUUUUUGAAGUUAAUUAAGGAGUUGAAGCGUAGUAGAUGUGUAGGAGUGCAGUGGCACUUCUCACUAGUAUUAAUUCUACAAUAAUUUAUCAUAUGCGCACCCAAGCAUCUUUAUCGAUUUAUUUAUAUAUAUAUAUAUAUAUAUAUAUAUAUAUAUAUAUAUAGUUAUAUAGUUGCAUACUAAAUAGUACUCCCUCCGUCAUAUAUGCAUGUGCAUGCUUGUGGUGUCCGCGUGCGUGCGUCAUCUAUGCAAUUGCAAUCGUCAAGCAUGCAUCUUUUUUCUUUCUUUC
Molecule: long non-coding RNA, 1999 nt
Filed under: Setaria italica (foxtail millet)
Lineage: Eukaryota; Viridiplantae; Streptophyta; Magnoliopsida; Poales; Poaceae
Description: long non-coding RNA (SITA_LNC007456)
Source: RNAcentral